GGCACGGGGAUAAGAUUCGGUCUGUUCGUUCAUUAACAGUAAUCAGUUACGAAGCGUCGAAGAAAGCGGAAUUCGCGGGUUUAUUGGGAAUGUGCGAAGAAUCCUGAAUUCCCUGCAAAUAGGGAAAGUGAAAUUGAAAUCAUACGCUGUUACUCCACUUGUCGGUGCUCCUUUGCGUUGUGAGAUUAAACGAUUACACUUCGCGGAAAUUUACCGUAGUCGAGCAAUUUUGCCAUGGAUUCACGUGAUUACCGUAAGGAUGCAACAUCUUUUUAUUGGGGAUCAUUAAUCGUUUAAAUAUAAAUACGAGGUGAACAGGUACGAUACUUAUUUAUUACAUGUUUAUUGCUACCUGAGAGGAAGGUUACGUCACAAUUCAUUCUAAUACGUCAGUUUAUUACAAUUUUAAUUCAAGAAACUGUUUCUCUAAAAGAAGCAGUAUUUGCAUACAAAUUUUUAAUGGUAUACCGGAUGUUUAUUCAUGUUAUUCAAAUAUGUAGUCCCAAUCUCACUGCUCAAGGAACAAUUUUAGCGCCAUGGUCGUUCGAAACGCGCUAACAGGCCGGGCCGUCCAAGCUCAUUACGCGGAAUGACAAGUUUGAAUGACAGCGAUAGUGCGCUUUAACGCGUGCCACUCAAUGAUUCUUUCAACGUUUAAUGGACAAUGGAACACGGUGUGGUGACGAUGUCGAGUGCGGAAAAGCGAUGAAAGCGUCGACUGGUCGAUCGAUUAAUAGAUAUCACGCAUUUUGAAGGCUCUGCCCAUCGGAUCGAGCGCUUGGUCGAACCAGUGGACGGUUUGAAAAAUGUUUGCGUAAUUUCUUUCCGGUUACCGGCACCAACGAAGCGCGCCUCGCGCAACUACUCUGGAAUACCAUUUCAAUUCAUUUAAUGCGAUUACGUGCGCGCUCAUCGCUCUCUCCACGUGUUACACGUCGACUUUAUAAUAUUAUUCGGACUGGUGCAACUGGUGGCCGUUCACGCGCUCGUCCAUACAAUCGUGCACGCACCGCUGCCGCGACGUGUUUACACGUGGUUUCCUGCUAUACGAGCCCACUCCGCUGGCGAGCAUGAAGAGAAGUCGACAAGCUAAUCAGAGUACGACGUUCGUGCGUAACUAUCAGCUCGUGCUCCGUAAAAACCGUGAAGCGCCGACGGUGAUCUCGAUUGGCGCCGUUAUUCAUCGGCUUGUUGUAACAUGUUGCGAUAUGUCGGCGAACUAGAGUCUAGUUAAUGACGCGGAUAUUAACGGGAAUCAACUUCCGAUGAAAUCGCUCUCUGUACGCGAUUUUUCCUUUUGCUCGAAACGGAGUAAAUCUCUCAAUCAGUGCACGUGAAUGGUUAGCAGGAAUUUAAUCGUUUGAUAGAAAUAAUGUACGUAUUUAUAGAGGACGAAUAUUUUUAAAUAAGUCGACCUUGCUGUUAGGGUAGCUUCACAAUGGAACGAAAUCUUAUUGUACUUUAUCCUUGUAAAAAAAGUUGAGGAACGCGUUUAACAUUUACCAGUGUGUCUGUGUGAAAUUUUAAUCCCUUAUGUGCUGUUCGUGAAUUAGAAUUAAUUUUAACGUUAUUGCAAAAAUGAGUGCAACAGUGAACAUCGAAAGUACAUAUUGCAGAACGUGCUCCAAAUGUAGAAAAUAUCAAACUGCCGCAAAAGUGUUUGGAUCUUCACACUGUGCAUAAAAAGAACUAUAAAAAAAAUGCUUUUUGUUAAAAAAAAAAAAAAAUGUCUAAGAAUAUUUGUACAAUUAUUUUGAACAUAGCGUGACACUAAAGCCUCAUGCGCAGAAUCCGGAUUUUAAUACUCUGGAUUCGUCUUUAGGUGAAUGUGUGUGGAACCGAGUGCAAUCAGCACCGGUGAAUGAUGAUGGAGAAUUACAAUAGCGAAUAGAAAAUGUAUGUCAAGUGAUUCGAAGGAAGCCAGGAAUUUUCGACACAACACGCAAUUCAGUAAUUCGAAGAUGCAGAACACGUGUGAAAAUGAAAGGAGGACACAUAAACCAUUUUGUAGGCAUCAAAAGAAGAUUACGGAGAGAUAAUCUUUCGUUUAGAAAUCGUGUAUAGCGAACAGAAGCAAACAGCCAAUUGUGUUAUCAAAACUACCCUCGCUCCAAAUGUGAAGACUGACCGUGGAAUCUGGGACCAUCUGACUCCUAGUUCAAAGAAUAAUAAUAAUAAUGUACAAACAAGGAGAAAAUAUUUAUUUACGUAAUUAGACAACUAUUAUGAUUUAUUUAUUAUAAAUUUACAAAAUGCAUGAAUUUAAAAACUUGCAUUUUUAUAAAAUAAUUGCAGAAAAAACGAAAUGCUUCAGUGUAAAAUCAUUCAAUUACCAGUUCAAUAUUUAUAGCGUAUAACACCGAAACGAUUUACCCAGUUACUCUAUGGUAUAACGUUUUCAUGAUAUUAUAAGAUACAUAGAGAAAGAUGAAGAUAUUAGAAGAACGAUGAUUUACGAGGAAUAAGGAGAAAAAUAUAGUGAAAGUAGAAAACAGUACCUGAGUUUGCGCAGUCGGGAAUCGCUAAACGUGUAAUGACAUUGACUAAAUAGGAUCGGAAGCAUCAUUGGAAUAUUUAUUGAAGACGGCGCGGCGUACGUAGGAAAUGGUGAGAAAGCUUGGAAAAGUGAAAGUUCGGAAACAUGCCAUUUGAUUAAAUGAUACAGGAGAUACAUGUGUGGAUGUCAGUGUCGUAACUGUUAUUGGAUUUAAGUGACACUUCAUAAUUCUUCAGUUCGUGAUAUACAAGAUGUGCAACAUUUAUCCGCUAACUUGUAUUUUAUAUUGGCCACUAUUUUAACGCAGUUUUUCUUCUAGAUUACAUUAAUUGAAAAUGGUGUUAGUCAUCGAUACAUAAAGUAUAUACAUAUAAUAAUUCUCAAUGAAAUUGAGAAAGUUCUCUGAUCUAGACAAAUCGAUCCUUUUUCCUUGCAUUUUCCUGCAGCGUUAUAAACACAUUUUUUAAUGACUAGAUUGAAAUUCAAUAAAUUAAUAUCUGACACAUACUAUUUCACGUCAUUACUGAAGUACAUUAUUUUAAACACUUACUAAGCUGAGUAAUACAAUUUAAUGUUAAUGAUCCUUCAUUAGGUAACGCGUACUUUCUCUGUGAAUUCUCACAUGUCCUUGAAAUGGCACAUGGUCAUAUCAAGAAUACAUCAUGAACUGGUUUUAGUUAAACUGGGUAUAGUUUACGAUUCGACAAUGACAUAAUGGUGCGUCAUAUUUAUUUUUUUAAAAAAAGUUCAAAGUAGUAAUGAAAUACAUAUUAUAUUUCAUAACUGUUGGAAUAUCGUUGAUCUUGAAUUGUUUUGCUCGAGAAAAUAUAAUCAGAUGCAUUGGAAACUAGAACACUUCUUAACGGUAGACUU
This is a long non-coding RNA of Hylaeus volcanicus, 3370 nucleotides long. RefSeq lists it as uncharacterized. NCBI's taxonomy places the organism in Eukaryota, Metazoa, Arthropoda, Insecta, Hymenoptera, Colletidae. The record is from RefSeq and is a predicted model, not a curated record. The transcript has 3 exons.